Molecule: ribosomal RNA, 292 nt
Filed under: uncultured bacterium
Lineage: Bacteria
Description: partial 16S ribosomal RNA
Rfam family: Bacterial small subunit ribosomal RNA
Source: RNAcentral
GUGUCAGCCGCCGCGGUAAUACGGAGGGAGCGAACGUUGUUCGGAUUUACUGGGCGUAAAGGGUGUGUAGGCGGUCUUGCAAGUCAGGGGUGAAAUCUCUCGGCUCAACCGAGAAACUGCCUUUGAGACUGCAGGACUUGAGGGCGUGAGAGGAGACUGGAAUUCCUAGUGUAGCGGUGAAAUGCAUAGAUAUUAGGAGGAACACCAGUGGCGAAGGCGAGUCUCUGGCACGCAUCUGACGCUGAAACACGAAAGCCAGGGGAGCGAACGGGAUUAGAUACCCUCGUAGUCC